UUUUUUGUUAGUCUAUACAUUGUAGAUUUUUUACAUAAAUGGCAAUAUUAGUUUGAAGUUUAGAGUGUAUUGUAGAUGAGCUGAAAAGUGGGAUAUUCGACAUUUAAAAUGAAAUUGUUCAAAAUCUAAAUUGAACCGGGGGGGGGGCAGAGGCUAAAGGUCAACUGCUGACAAAUGAAAAGGCGUUUGGUGUGUCCUUUAUUCCAGUUUUAGUUGUAAAGCGCAUCAUCAGCCGCCCAGAUGAACUCCGAAUGAAUCUGCUCACGUUGGCGCCGAGGGAAAAUGUGGGAAGAUUUUUGUCUCGAACAGUAAUUAUGCAACUGGUUUUUGAAUGUAGCUACCAUACAAAUGUGGAUCACCCUCAUUCUCAAAACUUAAGAUGACAUGAUGGGAGAGUGAUACCUUAUCAGUGCCUGAACUUGUAUUUUCAUUUAAGACAGUUUUAUUUUGUGAACCAUAUCAUUUCAUUUACCAUGGAGAUUAAAGAGGUACUUGUUCAUUCCCCCACCCUCCCUUCUCCUAAUGCUUUCUUCAAUUUUCAGGAAGAAGUUUAAAUGGUAUAAAGAGAUUUUCUUUCAGUGUAUCUAGUUAAAUAAAUAAAUGUUACGUAGAUCUUGUUUAGUUUUUAUUCCCCUUUUUUUCUAAUUAUUCAACUGGAUUAUACUGUCCAAACUGCUGUGUUAGUUAAGGUCAUGGGUCCAGGUCAUGAGUUUUCUUUCCCUCAGCCCUAUAUUGGUACAUUGCUUCACAUUUCAGGGUUCAAGAGAUGCUGCUUUUGGCUCUGAUUGUCUGCGGGUUGAUGCACAUUAACAUGUUUCAGUAUGUGUUGCUUCAAUUUCAAUGUAGGGAGUGAGUUGUUUUUUUUUCUUUUCUUUUCGUUCUCGUUGUAGCUGGAACCUCCUAAUGACUCGGAGCAUUCAAUAUUUCUGUAUAUCAGAGUGCAAGCCCUUUGCUGCAGAGACUUUCAAUAUAUUUAGUCUCCUCAUACUAUUUUCACCUCUUCCAGCUCUUUGAUGCUGUUGACACUGACUUUUUUUUUAAGAAGUUCUAAUCACUUCUUUGAAAAAAAAAAAAAAGAAAAGAAAAAGUUGUAUUAAGUUUUUCUUAUUAUUUGAAGAUCAACUAUUGUACUGAAUAUUGCUGAUUUGGGGGAACUCUGACUUGAUGUCAUUUAGUAUUCUGUGAGCAUCCCAUUAGCCUUCAAGCGACAUACUCAAAUCAUUUGUUUUGGGGGACGACGACGACCUUAUUUCUUAAAACGAGUCUUCACAUAGACACAGUUUGAAGUCUGCAGAAAAGCAAGCCGAACACUGCAGGGGCACAUGAUGUCAACAGAAAAUUACAAUAUUCUGAUGGAAAAUGUUAGGUUGACGGGCUUGACAUUGUUUUGGUAUAAGAAAGCAGUAAUAAAACACUUGCUUUCAACAGUUUUGUCAUAUCUUUGUUGAACUAAAAAGGGGGAGACCAUUGAGUGUUAAUACAUUCACAGGUACAGAGCCUGACAUCUUGGGAGUGAGCGUGCUGUUGACUCCUGCUGGGUCCUCAGCGUCUCACUCCGUCUCUCUCUGUCUCUCUCUUUUUUUAUACAUAUAUAUAUAUAUAUAUAUAAAUAUAUAUAGUUGAGAACUGUCCUGUAUAUAACAGUAAUGUAGCAAUAAAUGUG
Gasterosteus aculeatus aculeatus (three-spined stickleback) is the source of this 1663-nucleotide long non-coding RNA. The record is from Ensembl. NCBI's taxonomy places the organism in Eukaryota, Metazoa, Chordata, Actinopteri, Perciformes, Gasterosteidae.